This 193-nucleotide small nuclear RNA is filed under the name Gongylonema pulchrum. RNAcentral's name for it is "U2 spliceosomal RNA". It matches the Rfam family "U2 spliceosomal RNA". Rfam says of the family: U2 is a small nuclear RNA (snRNA) component of the spliceosome (involved in pre-mRNA splicing). Complementary binding between U2 snRNA (in an area lying towards the 5' end but 3' to hairpin I) and the branchpoint sequence (BPS) of the intron results the bulging out of an unpaired adenosine, on the BPS, which initiates a nucleophilic attack at the intronic 5' splice site, thus starting the first of two transesterification reactions that mediate splicing. The record is from Rfam by way of RNAcentral. Lineage: Eukaryota; Metazoa; Nematoda; Chromadorea; Rhabditida; Gongylonematidae.
GUCGCUUCUCGGUCUAUUUGUUAAGAUCAAAGUGUAGUAUCUGUUCCUACCGCCUUAAUCUCUGGUAUGUGGUCAACUGAUUGCUCAGAUAUUAUUCUAUUUUACUGACUUUGGUGGGUUCGUAGGGGCAUGCUCUUCGCCCACCGCGCGUCAACCCAGUACAGCAGCUGUUUUCGGGAACGACCCACUUUCU